UAUUGCCGACGGACGGCCCGAAAGUUUGAAGAUGAUCGAGGGCAGAUGGAUCGCUGAUCGCAGGAAUGAGCAUCGACUGGACUUGAGCCGGAUGUUUGGGAAUGCUGGAAGGCCUUGUUAUUCAUCCCUCUGCACUGAGCAAGGAAAAAAGUUACGGAAAAAUCCACUGUCAGCCCAGCACCUGCCCAGCACCAGAUUGCGGACAGACAAAGGGACGAGCUACCGAUGAAGGUCAAAUGUCAAGAGCAACAAUUUUUUUCUCAGGAGUUUUUCUCAGAAAGCUAGGGAACAUUGGACUAAAAGGAAUAGUUGGUGGUUGGUAAAUACACAAUUUGCCUUUUUUGCCAAAAGUUAGAUGAAAAGAUUGUUACCACUCUCAUGUAUGGUAAAUAUGGAGAUACCGUUAGUGUAGCACAAACUUUUGCUGGCCUGACAGAGACAAAUCUGCCUGCUAGCACCAAUGAAGCUCAGUCGCUCAAUAAUAUGUUAAGUUGUUUGCAUAGUCGAUACAAAGACCAAGUGCAAAAAACAACAAAUGUUGUUCCUCAGCCAGCAUCUUGGUUGGGAGAAGUAACUUCCUGUUGUCGUGUUCACUGACUUGAGAGCAAUAGUGAUCUUCCCAAACUCUUAGCCACAAAGUAAAUAAGUGUAUUUCCCAAAUUGUCAUACAAUUCCUCUGACAUUCUUCAAGAAAGAAACCAAAAACACAUGCUCAAUGUCUGCUGGCUGUAUGAAUAUUACUAUGUUUGCAGAUGUUGCAUUUACUUGUCCUUCUUCUUCCAAGUUACAAAUGAAAAACCAAUGAAAGCAGCUUCAAAAGAAGUCAUUUAAUAUUAUUUUAAAUCAUCAUAUUACCAAUGAUGGACCCUAUACCUGAAAUGGUUUUUAUCCCUGUCUUGGUACAACUGCUUCCAAUGAAAGUUCUCCUCUUUCUCUUUACUUUCUCCUUUUUGACCACCCCUCCUUUUUUCCACAUCUUUAUAUUUUUCUGGUUUUCUUAGCCAUGCCCCUCAUUGCUCCUCCACCCAUUGCCCCUGCACAGCUCUUAAAGUCCUUUUGAACCUCCUCCAGCAUAUUCUUUUUCUGUUCUAAGCGAGAAACAUUUCCCGUCUCUCCUUUGAUACAACUUCUCCAGCUACUCAACAUAUUUUAUCAUCAAAGUCUUCAAAUGGACCUCCCUCUAACCAUCAUUCUCUCUUUGGUUUCUAUCAUGUCUUUCUGCUCCCUCACAUUUUCUUUUUCUUUUCAUUUUACCCCAACCCUU
Long non-coding RNA from Scophthalmus maximus (turbot), 1264 nucleotides. RefSeq lists it as uncharacterized. The transcript is spliced from 3 exons. The record is from RefSeq and is a predicted model, not a curated record. Lineage: Eukaryota; Metazoa; Chordata; Actinopteri; Pleuronectiformes; Scophthalmidae.